GAACUUAAGCAUAUCAAUAAGCGGAGGAAAAGAAACUAACAAGGAUUCCCCUAGUAACUGCGAGUGAAGCGGGAAGAGCUCAAAUUUAAAAUCUGGCGGUACUCCACCGUCCGAGUUGUAAUCUAGAGAAGCAUUUUCAGUGUCGGACCGUGUACAAGUCUCUUGGAAUAGAGUGUCAUAGAGGGUGAGAAUCCCGUCCAUGACACGGACUACCGAUGCUAUGUGAUAUGCUCUCGAAGAGUCGAGUUGUUUGGGAAUGCAGCUCAAAAUGGGUGGUAAAUUCCAUCUAAAGCUAAAUAUUGGCGAGAGACCGAUAGCGAACAAGUACCGUGAGGGAAGGAUGAAAAGCACUUUGGAAAGAGAGUUAAACAGUACGUGAAAUUGUUGAAAGGGAAACGCUUGAAGUCAGUCGCGUUGUUUGAGACUCAGCCUUGCUACUUGCUUGGUGUACUUCUCAGAUGACGGGUCAACAUCAAUUUCUCUUGGUGGAUAAAUUUAGAGGGAAUGUGGCAUCUUCGGAUGUGUUAUAGCCCUCUAUUGCAUACACUGAGUGGGAUUGAGGAUUGCAGCAUGCCUUUAUGGCCGGGGUUCGCCCACGUAACAUGCUUAGGAUGUUGGCAUAAUGGCUUUAAGCGACCCGUCUUGAAACACGGACCAAGGAGUCUAUCAUGCUUGCGAGUGUUAGGGUGGAAAACCCUUGCGCGUAAUGAAAGUGAAAGUUGGGACCCUUCUGGGGGCACCGACGCCCGGCCCUGAUGUUUACUGACGGUGCUGCGGUAGAGCACGUAUGUUGGGACCCGAAA
This 803-nucleotide ribosomal RNA is filed under the name uncultured fungus. RNAcentral describes it as "eukaryotic LSU rRNA". It matches the Rfam family "Eukaryotic large subunit ribosomal RNA", at positions 30 to 821 of the family's 3401-position model. The record is from RNAcentral. Lineage: Eukaryota; Fungi.